GAUGAACGCUGGCGGCGUGCUUAACACAUGCAAGUCGAACGGGAUCCAUCAGGCUUUGCUUGGUGGUGAGAGUGGCGAACGGGUGAGUAAUGCGUGACCGACCUGCCCCAUACACCGGAAUAGCUCCUGGAAACGGGUGGUAAUGCCGGAUGCUCCGACUCCUCGCAUGGGGUGUCGGGAAAGAUUUCAUCGGUAUGGGAUGGGGUCGCGUCCUAUCAGGUAGUCGGCGGGGUAACGGCCCACCGAGCCUACGACGGGUAGCCGGCCUGAGAGGGCGACCGGCCACAUUGGGACUGAGAUACGGCCCAGACUCCUACGGGAGGCAGCAGUGGGGAAUAUUGCACAAUGGGCGCAAGCCUAAUGCAGCGACGCCGCGUGCGGGAUGACGGCCUUCGGGCUGUAAACCGCUUUUGAUCGGGAGCAAGCCUUCGGGUGAGUGUACCUUUCGAAUAAGCAC
This 457-nucleotide ribosomal RNA is filed under the name uncultured bacterium. RNAcentral describes it as "bacterial SSU rRNA". It matches the Rfam family "Bacterial small subunit ribosomal RNA", at positions 28 to 493 of the family's 1533-position model. The record is from RNAcentral.